This 236-nucleotide long non-coding RNA is filed under the name Panax ginseng (ginseng). RNAcentral describes it as "long non-coding RNA (PGIN_LNC011869)". Lineage: Eukaryota; Viridiplantae; Streptophyta; Magnoliopsida; Apiales; Araliaceae. The record is from RNAcentral.
UUUCAUGGGGCUGGUUUUGUAACUGACAAAUGAAGGGAAAUUCGUGGCUUUUGGUGAGAGGAGCUCUUGGAUAAGUGUUUGAGAAAAAUGGGUUAACAAGUGACCUCUUUCUCUCUUCAAUCCUAUAUAUAACAUGGUGUAAUUCCUAGAUCUGAUCAUGGGGGCAGGUUUGGCUGAUUAAAGGCUAGUACUUAGACCACAUGUCUAGCAAAAGUUGGUCACCAACUAAAGUUAUG